UCCUCACUGGUUGCAGAAUAAGUCUCUCCAAAGAUUCCAGUGACGACAAGAGACGGAGACGUAGAAGUGAAGUAUUUGUCAAACGCUUUUGGACCACUGCAUGCUCUCAUAAAGGACGACCACUGAGAGGCAACGGGGUGGAGAAGAAGCC
Pleuronectes platessa (European plaice) is the source of this 151-nucleotide long non-coding RNA. RefSeq lists it as uncharacterized. Lineage: Eukaryota; Metazoa; Chordata; Actinopteri; Pleuronectiformes; Pleuronectidae. The transcript is spliced from 3 exons. The record is from RefSeq and is a predicted model, not a curated record.